Molecule: long non-coding RNA, 2896 nt
Organism: Globicephala melas (long-finned pilot whale)
Lineage: Eukaryota; Metazoa; Chordata; Mammalia; Artiodactyla; Delphinidae
Source: RefSeq, a predicted model, not a curated record
AAAAAUUGUACGGCAUAGAUUUUGAUUUUCUCCCCAGAAGCUUUCUUAGUGGAGAAAUCCUGCUUCUCCCAGCCCGGCCCGCUUCCCUUGCUGUCCUCUCCUCUGCCCUGUCUUUGCCUUCCUCCCUCCCUCCUAUGUGUCAAGUUUCUCUGUCCCCUUCUCGGCAAGGAAAGAGAACCGGGAACUGCUUUGCUUGGCAGUUCUGCCUCUCAUCUGCCGCUGUUUGCCUCUUGCCUUUGAGUGUGCGAAAGUUUCUUCCUCUGCGUGUGGAUCUGUCUUCCUCUCUGAGGCUGUUUUAGCUUCUCUCCUUCUGUUGGAUGCUGUCUGUGAGUCUGUCUCUCCUCACAUCUGUCUCCCCUGCACCUGGCUCCUACCCUCCCAGACGGCUCUCUCCUCCUUCCGGAUCCCCUGCUCAGCCCAGCUUCUGGCGGGGCAGGGCGCGGAGGGCCUCUGUGCCCUGCGGUGGCCGCUCCCCCAGCUUCUACCCUUCCUACUACAUAGGAAGUUCCUCUUCUAGGAAGAGAAAGCCCUUCUCUCGGCCCCCGCAGGCCCUGGAGGGCUUUGGGCAGUGGGACUCACUGCAUGAAGCUGUCCCUUCCUCUUAUCCUAGUGACCCAAUCAGCAUCUCAUCUGAUCCUCCCAAUCUCCCCUUGAGGCUGAUCUGGUUACCCCCACUUUACAGCUGAGAGGAAUUCUGGCUCAGACAGUGAAGUGACUGCCUGGAGGUCACACAGCACUUGGCCUGGUGUUAACCUCAAAGCAAACACUUGGAAAAGCCUUAAUGAAUGGAGACAGGUUGCUUGUGGAGUGGAGCAAAGGAGGCCAGAGACCUGCUGCUUAUGCCACUGACAAGCUGUGGGAUUUGGAGAAAGCCCCUGACCCUCUCUGGGCUUCAGUUUCCCCAUUUCUAAAUGAAGGAGGCUGGACUGGGUCCUCCUUAAGGAUCCUCCCAAUUCUGACGGCUCUGAAAUGGGAAUGAAUGAAGUGCUACUGUUCUUUCUCCCUCAUUAAGUCAUUUCGCAAAUGUUUAGUGCACCUCCUUGCUCAGCCAGGCCCCGAGAGCCUGAUGCUAGCUAGCCCCAUGUCCCAUUUUACAGCUGAGAUCAUGGAAGUUCAGAGAAGGGAUGUGACUUGCCCAAAGUCACACAGCUAGCAAAUGACAAGGCUGAGAUUCAAACCCAGGCCUGAAUCCAAAGGUCAUGCCUAGUCCAUCUGCAUCCCGGUUUCUCAGCCCCUUCCUCGCCUCUCCCCAGGGUGCCUGGCCUCUGGAGGCCUGGGAUCCCCUUUACACAGUUUGGGGGAGGGGCUGGGCUGGCUCCUCUCAGGCAGCCUCUCUACCAUAUGUUUUGUCACUAAAAAACACCUCCCCCCUUCCGUCCAGCCCACCACUCACCCAGAGUCCUAGAUUUAAGGUGCGAGUGAACCUGAGGAUGCUCUUUCGCUAUUGGUGGGACCCCUUGCAGGGCAGCUGGUGGAGCCAGUUGAGACUCACCAGGGGACCAAGAUGUGUUUCCUUGCCCUGCCUUCAGCAAACUGCAUGACCUUGGGAUGGCUGCCUCUUUCUGCGGUCAGGCUGGUCCUGCCGCGUGAAGGCGGUCUCCAGGGGGAGAGCAGGUGCUAUCGGCGCUGGGCGGGGAUAACGAGCCCUCCUCGCGCACCUUGCCCCCUCGGAGUUACCAUCUGCUCGGCAGACGCGCCUCCCAGGACCCUGGGGUUGCCCCAGUCUCCCUCCCGGGAUCCAGAGCCCGCUCCUCGGCUCAGAAGCCUCAGUCUCUCCCCAGGGCUCGUGGCAGUUGCUGGAAGGGAGGUCCCCAGGGGCAGAGAGCUGCAGGCCCGGGACGUCCCCGGCAGAGGCAGUGGACGCCAAGAGCCGGGCAUCCCUGGUUCCCCUUCCCGCUCCCGGAAUCCCCACUCCCCCCAGCUCUCCGCGGGAGGCAGAGCCGGUGGCAGGUCCCGCGCGGAGCCGCCGCGCACCGGCUCGGGACCCGGUAAACACCCCGCGGGAGGAGGCGGCGCCCGGAGGCCGCCGGGCCGGGGCGGGGCUCACGGGGGGCCCCUCAGCGCGGGCGGGACGCGGGUGCUGGGGGCGGGGGCAGGAAGCUAGCCGAGGCCCGGGCCGGCCUGCGCUGCCCCGUGACGUCGCUCGGCUUCCAGGGAUCUGUCCCCGCGGCCCGGGUCCCCUCCGCCCCGCCCUCCUCCUGCCCUCCCACCGCCCCCCGCGGCCUCGCCUCCGCGCCGCGGCCGGCAUUUCUCGCUCGCAGCUCGCCCGCUGGCUGGCUCUCGGUCCCGGCCUCCUUCUCCUCGCUCUGACUCUCCUCCUUCCCUCUCCGACCCUCUUUCUCUUUCUCCCCUCUCCCUCUCCGAUCCUGAUCUAGUCGUUCCCUCCGCCCUUUCUUCUCCUCCCUCUUGCCUUCCUCUCUCUCUUUCGGUCGAUUCCCCUGCCUCUCAUUCUCUCUGUGUCUCUGCUUCUCUCCCCGUUUCCCUCUCGGUUUCUCUCUUCCCCCUCCCUCCCUCCGGGCUUCUCUCCCACCCCCCACCCGUGCCCUCCCUCCACCCUCGCUCCCCUCCCCCUCCACCCCUCGCAGCCCAGCCGCUCGCAGCUCCCCAGUCAGCCUCCCCGAACCAGCGCCGCCGCCGCCCGCACUCGCCGCAGGACCGGCCUGUCCGGCUUCCCGGGGUGCGCCCUCCUCGGCCCCGCGCCCUCGGGGCUCGCUGGCACAGCCUCCUCCCCCGGCUCACGGCCCCGCCCGGCCCGGCCCCAGCCCAGCGCCCGAGCGCGCCGAGGAUGUGAGUCCUGCUAGCCUCUGCCGGAGCAGCAGCCACUCGCGCGCCGCCGAGCCGGAGCGCAGCGCAGCGCAGCCUCGGGCGCUCGCGGGGUCGCUCGGGCCGGCUGCGC